AUGAAUGCUGGCGAUCUGCAUAACACAUGCAAGUUGAACAAUAUGCAGUCUAAAUAUGCAUAAAGUAGCGUACGGGUGCGUAAUACACGGGAAUAAAUCAAAUAGCUCGGGAUAAAAAUAAAAAAAUACCGAAUAAAAAGAUUGAAUCGUUGUUUGAUCAGCCUGUGCAGGAUUAGGUAGUUGGUUUAUUAAAAGAAAACCAAGCCAAGGAUCCUUAGCUGAUCUGAGAGGAUGAUCAGCCACACUGGGACUGAAACACGGCCCAGACUCUUACGGGAGGCAGCAGUGGGGAAUAUUGGGCAAUGAGCGAAAGCUUGACCCAGCAAGAUCGCGUGAGUGAAGAAGCCGAAUUAAUGGUGUAAAGCUCUUUCGACAAGGAGGAUAAUGACAGUACUUGUAAAAGAAGUCCCGGCUAACUCUGU
RNAcentral lists this ribosomal RNA (422 nucleotides) under uncultured bacterium. Its description in RNAcentral is "bacterial SSU rRNA". It matches the Rfam family "Bacterial small subunit ribosomal RNA", at positions 30 to 506 of the family's 1533-position model. The record is from RNAcentral.